CUUAAAACGACUGGCAUGAUGCCUGGAGUUCGGCAGCCCCUCUCCUCCGGGAGCUGCUGGUUCAGAGCGAAUGGUGGGAAGAGCGCUGCAGGAGUAUUUAUACAGGUUUACCAGAAGAAAGCCUUUUGAAGUCUCGCAGCUUUUCGGUGUCACAAACUGAAAACCAACCAGGAAGUGAUGGACUCUUCCUCUCUGACUGGCCUUUCAGGUCAGGCCUGAAAUGUCUGCCAUUAACUUUAUUAUCUGCCAACAUUGAGUAACAACCAGACGCAGGAAAACUCACCAGACUAAA
Long non-coding RNA from Poecilia latipinna (sailfin molly), 292 nucleotides. RefSeq lists it as uncharacterized. The transcript has 3 exons. Lineage: Eukaryota; Metazoa; Chordata; Actinopteri; Cyprinodontiformes; Poeciliidae. The record is from RefSeq and is a predicted model, not a curated record.